AGAAUUAAAGAGCAAAACAUCAUCUUUAUAUAUAAAGAUAUGUUUUCUCCCUCCUGGUGAGGACACAUAGGCAGCCACUUCACAAAGUCGUUCAACCUCGAGCUGAGACGUGUCUCAGAAGAGUAAAACUCGGCGUUUCAUUUAAUCUGGUUCAAAAUGGGCUUUGGUAGUUCGAUGUGUGUUGGGCUUUUAGUUUAGAAGUUGUAUCCGGCCCGGGUUACUUGAGAUCGCCCUCUAACCCUAAUUCUGAUGAAAGAAGAAACGAGCUCCAUCCUCUUCUUCGUGCGGCUACGAAUCGGUGACGUCUUAGCUUCUCCUCUCCAUGUUAAACGGUCCGAGUUAUGGCUGUAUCGAAGCGUCAUCUUCUUCAAUGCCCUCAUUAACAGUAUCUCUCCACUCCACUCCUCAUUAACCCUAAUUCAAUGAAUAUCCCAUUACAUCGAUUGAAGACAAAAAUGGCUGCCUCCUCUAUCAAGACAUAAUCUGUCUGAUUCUUAGAUGAGUCCUUAACAGCCUUAUGAAUCCAGUUUAAGGGAAUUUCGUAUUGACUAUUUGUUAUUAGCUGGUAACCGCUAAGUUGGUGAUCUGAUCCGGAUCAUACGUAUCUGUUUUAUAUUAAACGUUGUUUUCGUU
This is a long non-coding RNA of Brassica napus (rape), 633 nucleotides long. RefSeq lists it as uncharacterized. The transcript has 3 exons. NCBI's taxonomy places the organism in Eukaryota, Viridiplantae, Streptophyta, Magnoliopsida, Brassicales, Brassicaceae. The record is from RefSeq and is a predicted model, not a curated record.